CGGGCGCGGCGCCGGUCUAAGUCCCUUGGAACGGGGCGUCAUAGAGGGUGAGAAUCCCGUAUGUGACCGGCGAUCAAGCCCAUGUGAAACUCCUUCGACGAGUCGAGUUGUUUGGGAAUGCAGCUCAAAAUGGGUGGUAAAUUUCAUCUAAAGCUAAAUACUGGCCAGAGACCGAUAGCGCACAAGUAGAGUGAUCGAAAGAUGAAAAGCACUUUGGAAAGAGAGUCAAAAAGUACGUGAAAUUGUUGAAAGGGAAGCGCUUGCAACCAGACCUGCCCGCGGGCGACCAGCCGUCCUUUUCGGGGCGGUGCACGCGCCCGCGAACAGGCCAGCAUCGGUUCGGGCGGCCGGAUAAAGGCCUUGGGAAUGUAGCUCCUCUCGGGGAGUGUUAUAGCCCUUGGUGCAAUGCGGCCAGCCCGGACCGAGGACCGCGCUUCGGCUAGGAUGCUGGCGUAAUGGUUGUAAGCGGCCCGUCUUGAAACACGGACCAAGGAGUCUAACAUCUAUGCGAGUGUUUGGGUGUCAAACCCAUACGCGUAAUGAAAGUGAACGGAGGUAGGAACCCAUUAGGGCGCACUAUCGACCGAUCCUGAUGUCUUCGGAUGGAUUUGAGUACGAGCAUAGCUGUUGGGACCCGAAAGAUGGUGAACUAUGCCUGAAUAGGGUGAAGCCAGAGGAAACUCUGGUGGAGGCUCGCAGCGGUUCUGACGUGCAAAUCAUUCGUCAAUUUAGGGGCAUAGGGGCAAAGUUUGUGAUCCCGUUCCCUAUUAUAACCCAGGAA
This 781-nucleotide ribosomal RNA is filed under the name Lazarenkoiopsis ussuriensis. Its description in RNAcentral is "eukaryotic LSU rRNA". It matches the Rfam family "Eukaryotic large subunit ribosomal RNA", at positions 165 to 930 of the family's 3401-position model. The record is from RNAcentral. Lineage: Eukaryota; Fungi; Ascomycota; Lecanoromycetes; Teloschistales; Teloschistaceae.